Molecule: non-coding RNA, 2412 nt
Organism: Coffea arabica (coffee)
Lineage: Eukaryota; Viridiplantae; Streptophyta; Magnoliopsida; Gentianales; Rubiaceae
Source: RefSeq, a predicted model, not a curated record
GCUGCGUUGUCUGCUGCGUCGAUAGACUUCUUUCUCUAUCUGGCAGUAUCACAUGCCUCUUCUCCCCACUGUCUUCUCUCUCUCUUUCUUUUGGGCAAUGUUGCUCUGCUGCUUAUCCGGCUGUUCUGAGCCUUGGUACGAGAGCCUGUUGAGCUAACCAGUUAUCUUCUAACCACGCAGGUAUCAGCGAGCCUCGGUCUCUCGCAUUCUCUGGGUUGCGGUGUUCCAGGCAUUUGGCUCUCCUCCUCUUCCUCCGUUACGCGCAAGGACCAUCGAACCUCUGUCCCUCGCGUUCACUGGGUCUCAGUCGUCCAGAUCAGCUGCGGGGCGUUCGGUUUUCCUCCUCCUCCUCCGUUGUUCGAUCUUGCCACCUGUUUGGAUCACCUCCUCCUCCGCCGUUUGGAUCGUGCUUCGUUGUGCCUCUCUCUGCAGUUUUUAGUCUAGAGUUGCUAUUUUUCCUCGAAUCAAAGGCGUCUGUUCUCCGUCACAAGCUCACCGAGAAGGACGCCAUCAUUGCCGACCUUCAGUCCCUCGAUGCCUCCCUUUCCGACGCUUCCGACAAACUCACCCUCGCUACCCAAGAAAAGGUCAUAAAUUUUGAGAUGCCUCAAAGUGCUGCGGGAUAUGUACAUCGAAUUGGCCGUACUGGAAGAGCGUAUAACACUGGUGCAUCUGUCUCUCUGGUGUCCCCUGAGGAGAAUGACAUGUUUGAAGAUAUUAAAUCCUUCAUCGGUGAAAGUGAUAACGUGGACUCCAAUUUUAUAGCUCCAUUUCCAUUGCUCACUAAGAAUGCUGUGGAGGGCUUGAGAUAUAGAGCUGAGGUAAAUAUUGCCUUCCUUUAUUGCAUAGUAAGUUGUAACUUUUUGAACUUAUUAUGCGUUAAGCAUCUCUUUAUGCUUACUUUGCUUCUGUGGUUCUUAAAAAAACCCUAUGGCGUCUGCCUCGAGAUAUUGAAGCUGUUUUGUGCUGUGUUGCUGUUUUGCUCUGUGCUUUUUAGCCUAGAGUUGCUAUGUUGCUAUUUAUACGUACUGCUUCAGUUAGAGCUUUGCUUCUUCGGAUCGGUGUGAGGUUAUGUAUUAUUUUUUUGUUUUGACUCUAAAAAUUAUAUAUUAAUUGCCUUUUGUAGUUAAGCCACCGCACCUAAUUGCCUUAUCUGUUGCCAGCAUAAAUUUUUUUUUUAAACCGAAUUUGGAUGCUUACUGUUGCAUUAUCAACUUUUCAAUUCUGUUACACAUUUGGACUAUACUUUGUCAGUGUUGCAGGGUGUUAGCCUAAACCUCCGGGUUGCUGAUGCUCUUGAUGGAAAGGAAUUGUUGUGCUAUGUUAUACGUGCUCCUGAUUUUAUUAGAGUAACUGGAAUCAGGUUUACGAUUGUUACGGCUUACUGGGUUGGAGAAGCUGCAUCUGUGGCCGUGUCAAAUGUGCCUUUCCUGAUGUGACAUGCCUCUUUCCGGCAUCAUCUCUACCUUAGAAGUUGCCGAAUUAGUAUUUUCUCUGAAAUAUAUUUUCCCCAUGCUUUCCUUCAAAUACGUUUUUAUUCUCAGGUUUUUUCUUCAUUAUUUUUUUUUACUUUCUGUGGUGAUGAUUCAUGAUUUCAAGCAUGAAUUCGUCAUGAUUUACUUGUAAUUUAUGCACAUACAAUUCAAUAAGGAUUUCAAAGGUUAUGUGGCUAUGAAUGACCAUUUAGCUGUAGUUUGCCUAUUUUGAUUGUGGAACGGAUUGUCCGUGUAAUUUAUUUACCUUACUUUUACUCAACAGAAAGAACUUGCUCAACUUGUGAAUGUGAAAGACAUAUGAGCACACAAUCUGGCGGAAUGGAACAGAUUCGUUUUUCAGUAUUAUUCGUCUUCAUUCCAAUGGGAGCUCGCUGCUCUAAAUUAGGCUUUUGCUGGUGGCCUUCUAACCUCAAAUCCAACAUCGCUUGUUCCUUUGAUUUUGGGUUUUAGAGCAAUGUGGAGAAAAUGAGACUAUGAAACUGCCAUCAUUUAAAGAAUGCAGUUUACAUGAGCUGAAGGUGGCGACUACAGGAUUCUCAGUUGAAUACAUUGUAUCAGAACAAGGAGAUAAAGCUCCCGAUGUUUGUCUACAAAGGGCAGCUUGAAGAUGACGGCUCUUAGAUUGCUGUCAAACAUUUCAAUAAGUUUGCUUGGCUGGAUUCUCGGCAAUUCCUGGUUGUUAUUACUUCUUUUAAGCAGGCCCCAGCCAUAGUGUUUCACAAAUGUGAUAUUAUCUUAUUUAUGUACGGGCUUUGAUAUCAGCCAUAGUACUUAGUUAACCAUGAGUAUGGUGGAUGUUAUUCAGGUUUAAGAUUUGUUGUAUGCAAUUUGUAAGUUAAUAAGUGAGGAAACUUAUUGUAGGUUGAUAUGAAUUGAAACAUUGAUUAUGCGGUUGUUAUACCUUUGUUUAAGGUCA